AUUGCUCUCCUCUGAGAAGAUUAAGGAUUCAUUUGUUAACGACCCGGCGCCUAAUUGGGCCCCCGGGUGUAGCUCCUCCCACGGGGUGGGGCUCCACCUUGCUGCUCAACGCCGUUAAUUAAGUAACUGCGCUUGAAAAGCUGUUUUUACUACUACAGACUGGGUUCUGUCGGAGCAGAAAAUAUGGUGCGAGUGUCGCGGAGAAAGGGGUGGAGGUAGCUGGCGCAGACGAGGAAAGAAUCGGAGACUUACUGUGUGAGAGAUAACCUGGAGGCCUGGAGGCAUUCAUCUCCUUGAUGAAUGAAUGAAUGUGUGAGGAAUACGGAGGAAAGGCUCCAAGUGUGUGGUUCUGAGAGGGCAUGGUGAAAACUGGCUGGGGAAGCAGAUGUGGCCUGUUAACUACAAGAUCCCAGACGCACGUGCUGAGCAGUUCCCAAAACCCCAAGCAGGUUCUCAAGCAUGGCCUGGAACUGACGCGGCCUGAGGGGACCAACUGAGAGACGUUCCUCAGCCCCGAGGAGAUUUUUAUUGGCCUCAGAAAUCUAAAACCGUGGACUAUUUGGAGAGAGAGCCGCCCGGAUUCUUACUGGUCUGGGGAGUUAUCUUUGGAAAUCCAGGACACCCGGACCAGAUUCCUUUCAUUCAGGCUUGGAUUGGUCUGAUCCACGACCCUCUGAAAUGGCUAAAGGCCUGCCGUUCUGGAUGCCAUUCGUGGUCAGCUGGUCAAACCCCCAUGGUUGCGCUGGCUACCCCAGCCAACAAGAAGCGUCCUCAGACCUGACCAGACAAGAAUGUGUUUUCCCUCUGACUCGACCUGCUUGGGACCCCAACUCCAGUGCAGGCUUCAGGGUCCUAUGGGCAUCAGCGUCCACAUCCAGAGGCUCAAGGAAGCAGGGAUCCUGGUUCCCUGUAAGUCGGCUUGGAGUCGCCCCUACUCCCAGUACAGAAGCCUGGGACCUCCGACUACAGGCCUGUUCAGGAUCUACGUGAGGGAAAUCACAGAGUGGAGACACUCCACCCCACCGUACCCAAUCCCUACACCCUUCUGAGCCUACUCCCUCCUAGCCGAGUGUUCUACACCAUCCUCAACCUCAAGGAUGCUUUCUUCACCUUAUCUCUGGCUCCGGUAAGUCAGCCCCUCUUUGCCUUUGAGUGGACAGAUCCCCAGACUGGGGAAAGCAGACAAUUGACUUGGACCCGCUUGCCUCAGAGGUUUCAUAGGGCUAUUUACCAGGAAAGAGGACUAUUAACUACGGGAGGACAUAAAAUUAAAAACACCCAAGAAAUUCUGGACUUGCUGGCAGCUGUAUGGCUACCUCAAAAGGUUGCAGUAAUACAUUACAGAGGAUAUCAAAAAAAAAAAAAAAAAAAAACAACUCUCCAAUCGCCCGGGGAAAUUCCCUGGCUGAUGUUACAGCUCAAGAGAUGACACAAAAACCAGUGGGGGAACACUGGGAAAUUAAUUUUACAGAGACGACUCCUGCAAAAGACAACUACAAGUAUCUCCUGGUGUUAGUAGAUACAUUCACAGGGUGGCCUGAGGCUUAUGCCACCUGGUCUAAAUCGGCCACUAUAGUUACCAAAAAGCUCCUUACAGAGAUAGUUCCCCGACUCGGCCUGCCCAUUACUCUGGGGUCCAACAAUGACCCUGCUUUUAUAGCCCAGAUUACCCAAAAAGUGACACAAGUCUUAAACAUAAACUGAAUGCUCCACUGCGCCUAUAGGCCGUUGAGUUCAGGACAGGUAGAAAAGAUAAACAGGACAAUUAAAAAAACUAUUACAAAGUUAGGGUUGGAAGCUGGAGAAAACUGGUUGAGUCUCCUUCCCUUUGCCCUUUUGAGGGCACGAUGUACUCCCUAUGUAAAAAAAAUUACUCCUUUUGAGGCCAUGUAUGGGUGUGCCCCUCCACUCCUCCCGAAGUUGGAAAAAAGAUUCUUGCUUCAGUGACUAACCAGAAACUUAUCAGAUCCUUACAGGCCCUCCAGUCUAUGCACCAAGCCACACACCACCUCUUCAGACAACACCAACCCGUCUCUGAUGGGUCUAACAGUCCUCCUGGAGCGGCACCCGGCUCUCUGGUGUGGGUCAAAAAAAAACACCGCAAUGUUGGGACCCCGCUGGAUUGGACCUGACGCUGUGUCAUAAAUUGUUUAAAUAAGGAUGUUCAACAAAGGAUGCAAGCCAUCAAAUUAAUGGUACUCAGAGCUCAAUAUCCGCCAUCAGAGGUAACUGAGGAAACAACGAUUUGAUUCCCCCAGAAAACCAGUGGGGAAUGCGGUGAACACAUAAAACGGAUGAAAAAUUACUGGGCUAUUGGGUGGAGGAAAAAAAAAAGUCAGUUUGACCCAAGAAAGAGAAACUGUGCUUGAUUGUUCUUUUUAGUUUGAGAAAAAACAUAUGCUUCUGAGGACGUUCUGAUUUUUGCAACACCUGCUUGCUGAAACCGAUAGGUUCCACUUUCUACCCUUGCAAAAAACUUCUUUACCUGCGCCAACCAGGAUGUGGUCUUCAAGCUUAAAAGCUCAAACAUUCUUUGGGUCGGGGCUGCUCAGCAUCUCCCUGCAUGGAGAACAGACUGACACCCAUCAGCCCGGCUAAU
Long non-coding RNA from Chinchilla lanigera (long-tailed chinchilla), 2599 nucleotides. RefSeq lists it as uncharacterized. The transcript is spliced from 5 exons. NCBI's taxonomy places the organism in Eukaryota, Metazoa, Chordata, Mammalia, Rodentia, Chinchillidae. The record is from RefSeq and is a predicted model, not a curated record.